RNAcentral lists this non-coding RNA (28 nucleotides) under Mus musculus (house mouse). The record is from RNAcentral. Lineage: Eukaryota; Metazoa; Chordata; Mammalia; Rodentia; Muridae.
UACUGAGCUACUUUCAAGUCUUCACUGC